GCCACAAGAAACAAGUCAGCUAUAAUCCAGAAUCUCUAACUUCAAUUCAAUUUCAGAGAAAUAGUAAUUCAAAGCGAGAUUUCUCUCGUUACAAAUUCGGUUCAGCUUAAGCCAAGUCAAGCAGAGUUCAAGUUUUUAUCAAAUAUGAAAACCUCAACAAAUUUAUGGAGAGCCCUGAUAAGGCAAAACAGGUACCACAGUGCAGUUCCAGCUCAGUAAUCAUUAAGUCUAGCCACUUAUGUC
Molecule: long non-coding RNA, 243 nt
Filed under: Prunus persica (peach)
Lineage: Eukaryota; Viridiplantae; Streptophyta; Magnoliopsida; Rosales; Rosaceae
Description: long non-coding RNA (PPER_LNC007812)
Source: RNAcentral